RNAcentral lists this long non-coding RNA (457 nucleotides) under Elaeis guineensis (African oil palm). Its description in RNAcentral is "long non-coding RNA (EGUI_LNC078852)". Lineage: Eukaryota; Viridiplantae; Streptophyta; Magnoliopsida; Arecales; Arecaceae. The record is from RNAcentral.
GUUGAGUUGUGAUGUCUUUCAUAAGGAUAAGGACUUCUUGAAGAUAGAAAUAGCGUCAAGGUAGUUCUCUCCUGCUCAUGCAAUGCAAAAGGUUUCCUGGAGAUUGAUCUGGCAACCUUUUUUGUUAGCAGGUCUAUGCUUCUCUGGUUCCGGUGCUUGUUCAUAGAUAUUUUAACCCUCAUACUGUUCUCAAGUAAAGCUUUGAAUGAGAAUCAAAUGUUGUUAAUGUUGAUAUUUUCUUCAGGUAAAUUUGCCUAUCGUUGAUUAAGAAGAAUGAUUCAGCAAAAGAUUGUCUAUGUUCCAUCCUGUGCAAGUCAUGUUGUGAUGUAGUACCAUCUGCAAAAGGGAACUGAUUGGGUUUAGGACUGAACCUAUUCAAUUCAGACUUGAGUUUUGAUUAAAAUAAAACAAUGAAAGAUGGAAUUUCAAUGCAAAUGUGAUAGUAGAUAGGGCUAUG